UUAAUAAACUUUUAUUUCUAAACAUUUUUAUAUUUUCAAACAUACAUACAAUGUGAAACACUCCACCAUUUUAUAUUGAUAACGUGGGGUAAAUGUACAUGAGACACUAAACUGUUGCAAUACAAUAUUACUUAAUGUCAUUGAAAAACCUGAGAUUCAUUGAUGCAAAGCUAGCAUAUUCAUAGGGCCCCCUUUCAUAGGAAAAAAAUUGGUUGAUUAAAUAGGGAAUCACUGGAGCGGGCCCCUCCCAAGUUAGUCAGCAGCAGCAACCCCCCCCCCCCCCCCAAAUAGAAAAGUUCUUGAUCGGUCACUGGUGUCAGACAUAUACAUGUAUGUACUGUAGUAUUUGAGACAUAAGAAAAAUAAAAGAUAUAAAAG
Molecule: long non-coding RNA, 378 nt
Filed under: Mytilus galloprovincialis (Mediterranean mussel)
Lineage: Eukaryota; Metazoa; Mollusca; Bivalvia; Mytilida; Mytilidae
Source: RNAcentral